This 378-nucleotide ribosomal RNA is filed under the name uncultured Leptolyngbya sp. RNAcentral describes it as "bacterial SSU rRNA". It matches the Rfam family "Bacterial small subunit ribosomal RNA", at positions 395 to 788 of the family's 1533-position model. The record is from RNAcentral. Lineage: Bacteria; Bacillati; Cyanobacteriota; Cyanophyceae; Leptolyngbyales; Leptolyngbyaceae.
AGACGCGUGAGGGAGGAAGGCCUACUGGUUGUAAACCUCUUUUGAUAGGGAAGAAGAAAGUGACGGACCGAUCGAAUCAGCAUCGGCUAACUCCGUGCCAGCAGCCGCGGUAAUACGGAGGAUGCAAGCGUUAUCCGGAAUUAUUGGGCGUAAAGCGUCCGUAGGUGGUUAUUCAAGUCAGCUGUCAAAGGAUGGAGCUUAACUCCAUAAAGGCAGUUGAAACUGUGUAGCUAGAGUGCGAUAGGGGCAAGGGGAAUUCCCAGUGUAGCGGUGAAAUGCGUAGAUAUUGGGAAGAACAUCGGUGGCGAAAGCGCCUUGCUGGGUCUGCACUGACACUGAGGGACGAAAGCUAGGGGAUCGAAAGGGAUUAAAUACCCC